UGCAAGUUGAGCGCUGAAGGUUGGUACUUGUACCAACUGGAUGAGCAGCGAACGGGUGAGUAACGCGUGGGGAAUCUGCCUUUGAGCGGGGGACAACAUUUGGAAACGAAUGCUAAUACCGCAUAAAAACUUUAAACACAAGUUUUAAGUUUGAAAGAUGCAAUUGCAUCACUCAAAGAUGAUCCCGCGUUGUAUUAGCUAGUUGGUGAGGUAAAGGCUCACCAAGGCGAUGAUACAUAGCCGACCUGAGAGGGUGAUCGGCCACAUUGGGACUGAGACACGGCCCAAACUCCUACGGGAGGCAGCAGUAGGGAAUCUUCGGCAAUGGACGAAAGUCUGACCGAGCAACGCCGCGUGAGUGAAGAAGGUUUUCGGAUCGUAAAACUCUGUUGGUAGAGAAGAACGUUGGUGAGAGUGGAAAGCUCAUCAAGUGACGGUAACUACCCAGAAAGGGACGGCUAACUACGUGCCAGCAGCCGCGGUAAUACGUAGGUCCCGAGCGUUGUCCGGAUUUAUUGGGCGUAAAGCGAGCGCAGGUGGUUUAUUAAGUCUGGUGUAAAAGGCAGUGGCUCAACCAUUGUAUGCAUUGGAAACUGGUAGACUUGAGUGCAGGAGAGGAGAGUGGAAUUCCAUGUGUAGCGGUGAAAUGCGUAGA
Molecule: ribosomal RNA, 655 nt
Filed under: Lactococcus lactis
Lineage: Bacteria; Bacillati; Bacillota; Bacilli; Lactobacillales; Streptococcaceae
Description: bacterial SSU rRNA
Rfam family: Bacterial small subunit ribosomal RNA
Source: RNAcentral